AGUGUAUCAAGUUAGUAUCCUGUGAUUUCGCACUUUUUCACUUUUGUACUUUGUGGUUUAAAUUGUAUCAAGUCAGUACUCUGUGAUUUUAUUUUUGUAUCAAGUUAUUACCAUACGGUUUCAUUUUUCUCUUUUUAUUAUCCGUUUCGGGGUAUUUUUUUUGUUUAAUCAGUGACAAAGUUAAAACUAAAGUGUACUAAAAUGAAUAUUCGAUAAACCUAGGUAGGGUAUCUUAAGUUUUUUGUAUAUAAUUUAACGAAAUAUUAAACUAUAUGGUACUAAAGUGAGAAAAUGCAAAACCACAGGGUAUUAACUUGAUACACUUUAAACCAAAGGGUACUAAAGUGAGAAAGUGUGAAACCACAGGGUACUAAUUUGAUACACUUUAAACCACAUGAUACUAAAGUGAGAAAGUGCGAAACCACGGGGGGUAUGUGAAGUUUUCCCAAUAUAUAAAAAUGUACUUAGGAGGUGUUUGAUUCCGCAUAAAUGAAUCGAAAAAUUAUUUUUGGUAUAAAAAAUAUUUUUUCGCUUCUUUGGUUUCGACGUAAAACUAUUCAUUUGCAAAAGUAUUUUUACGAAUUGGAAAAAAAAAAAUUGGAGUUUUUAUUUCUUUGCUGUUUUUCGGCAGAAAACAAGAACCCAAGCUGAAUAAAAUUUUUUUCAUUCAUUUUUUUUACCGAGCCAAAUCUUAACCUAUAUGAAUUUUCAAUGUUUGUUGCCACGUGGCAAGUUCUCCUUCACCCUCACUAGCAUGUGACUUUUCUUUUCCAAACUUUCUUGCAUUUUAACGAUCUCACUAACUAAACUUUCAAUUAGUGGAUUUAAAUGGUUCCACUAUUAUCUAUAAUUCUAUCGUUUCUAUUUACAAUUAUUUACCAUGACCCUUUCCCUUUCCUCUACUAUACUUUCAAUUAAUGCAAACGGUCCCACUAUCAAACUUUCAAUUAGUAUAUUUAAAUAGUCCCACUACGUACCAUCUACAAUCCUAACCUUUUUAUUUUCAAUUAUUCAUCAUGGCCCUUUUCCUUCCCUCCACCAGACUUUCAAUUCUUUAUCUCCAAUCUAUUCAUUAAUUCUCUAUCUCUCAUUUUUUGCUAUACACUAUCGCCUCCUUCCCUCACUCCCUCCCUCUCUCUUACUAGUGCGUGCCCACUUUCCCCUUCCGCUGUGGUCGGAGGGAUUGUUGUCGCCGUCACUAUCAUCAUUGCUGGAGAAGGCAUCGUCGAAUCUAUAUCCUCUGUCACAGUGAGAGAACUUUGGUAGAUGUGCCAAGUGCGAUACAGAAGAGAAUGUUUAAUAUUUUCUUAUUAUUAAUUAUUACUACGGUUUCUACCCACGGCAAAGUGCGGGUUCCUUCACUAGUAAAUGUGAAUUCUUUUCCCUUAAAUCAAACAAAUAUUGAUGAAAAAAAUUUUUCUUAUAAAAUAAACACUAUGAAACAUAAAACUUUUUUUCUCCACCGAAAGUUUUUUUCUAUGAAAAAUUAUUUUUCAAAAUUUUAUGUUAAACCAAACAAACCCUUAGCCAUAGAUCAUACUAAAAUCACAUUUCAAUUAUUUUUUAACAAUAUUGCUCUUACACCCUUAUAUAAGAUAUAAGAUUUACACCCUAUAUAUCCAUCAUAAUAUCCAUAUUCUUUAUCUUGUCUUAAACAAUGCUACAAAUACACCCAAAUAAUAAAGUGUAUAUCUCACAUAAUCUUAAGGUAAAACUUUAAAAAUCCCCCCUGUGGUUUCGUAGUUUUUUACUUUGCUCCCCUAUGGUUUAAAAUGUAUCAAUUUGCCCCCAUGUGGUUUCUUUUUUCUCUUUUUCUUAUCAAUUUCAUUAUUUUUUUUUUCUUAAAUCAGUGAUAAAGUUAAAAUUAAACGGUACUAAAGUAAAUAUUUGAUAAAUCUAGAUGGAUAUCUGAAGUUUUUUGUAUAUAAUUUAAUGAAAUAUUAACGAAAAAGCUACCGAAAAGAUAAAAAUAAAACAACAGGGGGGCAAUUUAAUACAUUUUAAACCACAG
RNAcentral lists this long non-coding RNA (2011 nucleotides) under Ananas comosus (pineapple). RNAcentral describes it as "long non-coding RNA (ACOM_LNC013160)". Lineage: Eukaryota; Viridiplantae; Streptophyta; Magnoliopsida; Poales; Bromeliaceae. The record is from RNAcentral.